This 276-nucleotide unclassified non-coding RNA is filed under the name uncultured bacterium. RNAcentral describes it as "contains 16S-23S intergenic spacer region". The record is from RNAcentral.
GAAUUUUUCUUUUGUGGAAAUGGGAGGCUGACUUAAAUGAUCAAAUACCAUCCUUAAGCCCGGAACCUUUUCUGCCACUUUCAAUGCCGUUUCUAUAUGAGUAGUCAAUACAGCUACUACAUCAUAAGGUUUAUCAUAAGCUGCUGCUAUCUUCAGGCUUUCAAUUACCGCUGGUUGCAAUAACCAUUUUGGAUCAUUCUCAUCAUGUACCUGGUGCCUGAUGCCUUUGAAAUAUUUUUGUUUAAGGUAUUUAUCUUCCAGUAAGGAUUGCGUCGC